CCCUUAGAUGUUCUGGGCCGCACGCGCGCUACACUGACGGAGUCAACGAGUUGUCCUGCAUCGGAAGGUGUGGGUAAUCUUUUGAAACUUCGUCGUGCUGGGGAUAGAUCUUUGCAAUUUUCGAUCUUGAACGAGGAAUUCCUAGUAAGCGUGAUUCAUCAGAUCGCGUCGAUUACGUCCCUGCCCUUUGUACACACCGCCCGUCGCUACUACCGAUUGAAUGGUUUAGUGAGGCCUCGGGACUGGCGCGCUCGAGUAGCAAUACACCUGCGCGCCGGGAACUUGGUCAAACUUGAUCAUUUAGAGGAAGUAAAAGUCGUAACA
RNAcentral lists this ribosomal RNA (324 nucleotides) under uncultured eukaryote. RNAcentral describes it as "partial 18S ribosomal RNA". It matches the Rfam family "Eukaryotic small subunit ribosomal RNA", at positions 1470 to 1796 of the family's 1831-position model. The record is from RNAcentral.